AAUAAGUGUAGUUUUAGACCGUUCAUGUUCAACGUUUGAUCGUUCGUCUUAUUUAAUUUUUUUUAUAAUUAUUAUUUUUAUUAUUAUUAGACGAUAAAACAUGAAUAUAAAUUUAUAUGUGACUAAUUAUUUUUAAUUUUUUAAUAAAUUUUUAAAAUAAGAUGGACGGUUAAAUGUUAGAUACGGAUACUCACGACUGUACUUAUU
Oryza sativa Indica Group (long-grained rice) is the source of this 207-nucleotide microRNA precursor. It matches the Rfam family "MIR812 microRNA precursor family". NCBI's taxonomy places the organism in Eukaryota, Viridiplantae, Streptophyta, Magnoliopsida, Poales, Poaceae. The record is from Rfam.